UGAGUUGUAGCUCAGUGGUAGAGAGCUUGCCUAGCAUGCGUGAGGCACUGGGUUCAAUCCUCAGCACCACAU
This is a non-coding RNA of Ictidomys tridecemlineatus (thirteen-lined ground squirrel), 72 nucleotides long. NCBI's taxonomy places the organism in Eukaryota, Metazoa, Chordata, Mammalia, Rodentia, Sciuridae. The record is from Rfam.